RNAcentral lists this ribosomal RNA (237 nucleotides) under uncultured bacterium. Its description in RNAcentral is "partial 16S ribosomal RNA". It matches the Rfam family "Bacterial small subunit ribosomal RNA", at positions 96 to 334 of the family's 1533-position model. The record is from RNAcentral.
CGGCGAACGGGUGAGUAACACGUGGGCAACCUGCCCUACACUCUGGGAUAAGCCCGGGAAACUGGGUCUAAUACCGGAUACGACUCCGCAUCGCAUGGUGUGGGGUGGAAAGUUCCGGCGGUGUAGGAUGGGCCCGCGGCCUAUCAGCUUGUUGGUGGGGUAGUGGCCUACCAAGGCGACGACGGGUAGCCGGCCUGAGAGGGCGACUGGCCACACUGGGACUGAGACACGGCCCAG